GCUGAUGUGGCUCAGGGGUAGAGCACUUCCUUGGUAAGGAAGAGGUCGGCGGUUCAAUUCCGCUCAUCAGCUCCA
This 75-nucleotide transfer RNA is filed under the name Alkaliphilus metalliredigens QYMF. Its description in RNAcentral is "tRNA-Thr (GGT) (tRNA-Thr-GGT-1-1)". It matches the Rfam family "tRNA". From Rfam's summary of the family: Transfer RNA (tRNA) molecules are approximately 80 nucleotides in length. Their secondary structure includes four short double-helical elements and three loops (D, anti-codon, and T loops). Further hydrogen bonds mediate the characteristic L-shaped molecular structure. tRNAs have two regions of fundamental functional importance: the anti-codon, which is responsible for specific mRNA codon recognition, and the 3' end, to which the tRNAs corresponding amino acid is attached (by aminoacyl-tRNA synthetases). tRNAs cope with the degeneracy of the genetic code in two manners: having more than one tRNA (with a specific anti-codon) for a particular amino acid; and 'wobble' base-pairing, i.e. permitting non-standard base-pairing at the 3rd anti-codon position. The record is from RNAcentral. Lineage: Bacteria; Bacillati; Bacillota; Clostridia; Peptostreptococcales; Natronincolaceae.